This 385-nucleotide small RNA is filed under the name Pongo abelii (Sumatran orangutan). Its description in RNAcentral is "processed transcript". Lineage: Eukaryota; Metazoa; Chordata; Mammalia; Primates; Hominidae. The record is from RNAcentral.
CUUUGUCUCACUUCAGCCAGAGCGCGGGGUUGGGGCUUCAUUGCCUUGUGUCCUCUGCUCCGGGAGGCUUCGGUGAUUCUGCCACUCCCUCCGUCGCUGUGUGACCUGCUGGCAUUGAAUGAUUUAUAGCUAAGACUCCAGGACACCCCUGAAGCCGAGAAAUGGAACUCUUAACAUUCAGGGAUGUGGCCAUAGAAUUCUCUCCAGAAGAGUGGAAAUGCCUGGACCCUGCCCAGCAGAAUUUAUAUAGAGAUGUGAUGUUGGAGAACUACAGAAACCUGGUCUCCCUGGUGUUACUAUCUCUAACCAGACCUGGUCACCUGUCUGGAGCAAAGAAAAGAGCCUUACAAUUUGAAGAUAGUUGAGACGGUAGCCAAACCCCCAA